GGUUGCUUCCGAUUUCUCAUUCGAUGCAGUAAAAAAAUCGAGAUUCUCUCUGCCUCUCUAGACACAACCCACGAACGAGAACGAACAAAGGGAAAUCAGCGCAUCUGCUUCUUCCGUCGACUUUAAUUCUGGCCUCCGGUUCGUCAUCUAUUUCAAGCAAUGACGUCGCAGUCCCCUUCCAAGCUUCAGUUCACGACUUCACGCCUUCGCAGUCGCAGUUCCAGCAACAUCAGAUAAAUUCGCAAAUUGGAAUGAAAACGAAGACCGGAACACCCUCUAAAAUCGCCUGUUCUUUCUAAAAUCCUUUGUUCUUUCUGCACCAUUAGGUAAACAAUGAUUUUUUAAAAUUGUUUGUUCUUUCUUCAUCUUUCUAAAAUCGUUUGUUGUUUCUUCAUCUUUUUUAAUUGUUGGUUGGAUUUAUGUCUUGGUUGUAACAGGUAAGGCAGAAGGGUAUUUGAUUCGAGUAAUUUCUUGACCAAAAUCUCUAAUUGUUUUGUGUAUGAAACCAUAUGCCCACCAAGUGUUCGAUCAAUUUCCUGAGUGAAGGGUAUUUUGAUUUGGGUAAUUUCUUGACUAAAAUUUCGGUCCCUUGAUCAUCUGUGAAGUUAUUAAGAACCAUGGAUUGAAGAUGUAGGUGGGUUGGUUCUAGUUCUCGGUUGUUUAUGGUGCGAUAGUGGUGGAGUGUGAUGGUGCAGAACAGAUGCAAACAGGAAGGUGGUCAAUGGACGUGUUUGGUGGUUGGAUCAAAAACGAAUGGAGCAGUUAGUGGUAUUUGGUUGUAUGUGUAUGUAGCAAAAACAUAGAUUGGAUUGCAGGUUAGUUCUUCAUCCCUCAAUUCUUGGUUUUAUGUGUGUAUGUGUAUGCAGCAAGAACACGGAUUAGUUUUGCAUAUGUCUGAAAUUGAAUAUCUUUAUCCAUUUUCCCAGCUCUAUUGAUCUCUCGAGCACCACACCAGAUGUUUUAAGCAGUGAGUUAUGUAAAAGGCUUAAAGGGUUUCUUGCAGCAUGGACUCCUUCAAGUCCCCAACCUCAUGUCAAUGAACUUCUUGUAGCAAAGGACUUUUUUUUAAUUAUAUAUAAUGCUAUAUUUAUUAAAACUUUAAUAUAUAUAUAUAUAUAUAUAUAUAUAUAUAUUAUUUAUAAUGUUAUAUU
This 1151-nucleotide long non-coding RNA is filed under the name Lactuca sativa (garden lettuce). RNAcentral's name for it is "long non-coding RNA (LSAT_LNC005667)". The record is from RNAcentral. Lineage: Eukaryota; Viridiplantae; Streptophyta; Magnoliopsida; Asterales; Asteraceae.